Molecule: long non-coding RNA, 3156 nt
Filed under: Aquilegia coerulea
Lineage: Eukaryota; Viridiplantae; Streptophyta; Magnoliopsida; Ranunculales; Ranunculaceae
Description: long non-coding RNA (ACOE_LNC001359)
Source: RNAcentral
AAUAAUUUUACCAAAAUGUUUAUUUAUCAAAAGUAAAAUUUUAUUAACUUCAAUCAAAACAAAUAGACAACUCUGUCAGAUCAUGUAAGGAAACCUCUUAAAGGACAUGCCCUCAAAGAGGAAAAAACCAUACAAACUACAAUGAAUCUUAACAACCAUAAACAAGACUUAUAUAUAUAUAUUAUGUCCCUAUCUUUAGAGUCAUCUUUCAUGCCUGUUGUUGUUGUUUACCAUUCCAUUAAACCAGACCAGCAAGCUUUAGCCAACGUGAGCCUCCAUAUGAACCCAAUCAUGACUUUAAGCAGGUCAUCUAUGUUCCAUGAUUAAUGAAAAAUCUGAAAACAGGGUAUGAAACCUACAAGCUUCAACCAUGGCCAUCCCAUGGAGAACUUUCAUUUUGUCAGAAAACUAAGGAGCGCAAACCAGUUGUUUAAAUUGCCAAAGUCUAGCAAGGCAAAGGUGAUGUGAAACAUAAGACAAUUUAUAUGUUGUUAAUAUGUUGAUGCCAAUACUGACCACAUGUACAAAACAUAUAAUUCGGACAAUACCACCUACAAAGAAGCAAAAAAGAACUAGCCAAAAAGUAGAUACUUGAGAACAUCAACGUUUAAGCGAUGCAAAACAUAGCCAAAUCAAGCAAGACACAUUAUUACCAAAACUGAAAAAGUACAUGAAAGUCUACGUAUAAAGAAACAGUAUAAACAUACCCAUAGAUGGCUUUCAUUGAGAAUAUCUGGAACUUUGAGAAUUUCUCACAACAUUUUUGCUGAUAAUUUCCCUACAAAUCCCACAAAUUUGAUGGUGAAGUUACUCCCCACAUAUCUACUUGAAGAAUCCCCUGCAAAUGAAAAAAAGGUAUAUGGAUCACAAGUUUAUUCUUUUACAUACUUCUGAGAUUGUCCAUAUAGAUAUAUUCUGGACAACAGUACCAUAUAGUGCAAAUCAUAUAUAAGUGCUACAAAAUUUGAUAUUUGUGUUUUUAAGUUAAGAUCAGAAAUUAACAAACCUUGCUCACAGGGCUCUCUUGGUAUGUCAAAUAAGGACCUUAUUUUUGUUUAGCUAUUGGGCCUACACUUUCACAAGAUAAAAAAAAAAACUCUUAAAAUUGUUCGGUUGGACUUCAAUAAGUAGAAAAAGAAAUUAACACUUGAAAUUUGCCAAACCUCUGGUGAAUCUAAUAGCAUGCCAAGAAGAAUGAAAACAUCAACAAGACCUUGCACUCCGGCCUAUUUGAAUUCUUUGUCGUUGAAACAGGAUAGUAAUUAACAUCAAUGAUUUUAUUGUUGGAAUUAAUUUUGAAAAUAUCUAGCCUAUCCUAGAAAGUUCUAUUGUUAAUGAAGUAAGUUGUGUUUAGCUGUGUUCUAGGAACUUAGGAAGUAGUUAGUUGCUGCAUUUAUUAAUGUCUCUAGGAUGUUCUAAACUCUUAGUAUAAAUAGAGUAUGUACUCUCUUGUAAGCAAGAAGAAACCAAGUAAUAAAAAUUAUCUCCUCCAUUAAGCAUCUCUGUUCUUUCUUGCCACUAUCUCAAAACCUAUCAUUUAUUAAGGUCUGCAGUAACUAUGUAAUAACCUGUUAUCACACUAUAAAACCUAUUGUAAAUCCACUUGAUGAUGAUAACAACAUUAAAAACAAAGUAUACAAAUAUACAUGCACAGUUACUACUCUUCCUCUAAUGUAAGUACUUGUGAGAAGAUAACAUGAUUAUAAUUGAACCUAUUUAAUGACAAACCUCUUCAAGAUUGUCCAAGGAAAUACCGACUUCCAGAACCAGGGCUUCCAAUCAGCUUAGCUGGGUGGGAUACAAUUCUGCACAUGCUGCACAAUCCAAGUGAGCAUGUCAGAGGAAUAAAAGACAUGUCGCAAACUGUCAAAGUUACUUAAACUAGUAUAGGAGAUAUAGGUACAUGCAAGAGUUCAAGAAGCCAUUUUUGAAUAUAAAUUAAUCCAUACUAUUUAGUAUGGUGCUCCUUAAACAAUUCAAGGCCAUAUCAUAGUUCUCCCAACUCUGGAACGUAUAUAACUUAAUCUUGGCUCAAUUCUAAAAUCACUAUGAAAGUUCGUCCAGAAAACCAUGUUCCAGAUUAAGUUCUUCAACAAUCCAAAUUAACAAACCAUAAUAUUCCUUCAAAAAUUAGGAAAAAAAAAAAGGCUAAAUAUAUAAUACCAACAUGGCGACGAACAACAAAAACGAUUCUUUAUUUUCCCCUCUUUUCUUUAUAUAUUACAAUUGAUUGAAACAAAAAAAAAAAUACCCAAUUAUAAACUCUCUCUCUCUCUCUCUCUCUCUCUCCACAGUAGAGCAACAACAAACGUUUUCAUGCCCAACAACCACAACUUCAUAGAAAAUUAAACAUUUACUUUUCAUAAUUCAUUUAAGCGUUCCCAUUACAAUUGUUGUGGAAAAGUAAUAACUAAAACCUAAACUUUGAGAGCAAUUGAUUUGCUUACCUUACCACCUUUUCAAAUGCCUUCAACUUUAGAUUACAGUACCUAGCAAACUGAAUUCACAUUAAUAAAUCGAUUCCAAAUAAUAAUGAAAAAAGCUAACAAAAUUAAUUAAUUUGAAGCAAUUAAACUUCUAAAAACCCUAAUCCCAAAUUAGCAUAAGAGAAGGUGGGUCAUAAGAAGAAAGAGACCAUAUCGAGAGAAAUUGAGAGAUGAUAUGAAAAGAAAGACAUACCUCGGUUCUUUCCAUCUUACCCAACGAGAACAUUGUUCUCAUUGUUUUUGGCACUGCUAUGAAAUUAUGGAGAAAGUUAAAGAAGGAAGCAAAAAUUUAAACAACGCCUUAAAUUUUUUGUUUUGGUUCUUAAAUUUUGACGAAAUUUUGUUAGAGUUUUAAAACCACUUGGACGAAUGAAUUAGAAAGACCGACGCUGGUAAAGAGGAGUGCCAUUUCCGACAGCUUCAAAAAAAGUAGCGACGACUUUAAACCCUCGCAAAUCUGAUAACAAAUAUUGUUUCAGAAUAUCAAAUUUUAGCGACGACUCAAUUUUAAAUAGCGAGAUCCGUUGGCCGUCGAUAGUACUGCGAGAUCCGUAGGCCGUCGCUGAUCUCCCGUGGUAGCCGUCCCAAUUUGCUAUUUUUCUUCUAGUGAGGGUUUUGGUGAUUUAUAAUGGCUGCACAAAGUUGCUUCUUAGUUGCCUACGUAUCCAUA